This is a long non-coding RNA of Corapipo altera (White-ruffed manakin), 1331 nucleotides long. RefSeq lists it as uncharacterized. The record is from RefSeq and is a predicted model, not a curated record. The transcript is spliced from 3 exons. Lineage: Eukaryota; Metazoa; Chordata; Aves; Passeriformes; Pipridae.
UCAGAUUUUACACUGAACUGCAAGAACUGUCAAACUGCCAGGGGGCCUUAAAAACCAAAUUGCUCAGUUUAAAAUAAAAAAUGCAUUUAACUCCUACAUAUGUGUUACAAUCUGGCUUGCAGAGCGCAGGAUUUUAAUGGUGGAUAUAGGAAUCAAAAUGUUAAUCUGGCAUACGUAAUGUAGCCAUGUUCUUAGCCUGGAAAUGUUUAACUGAACGUUGUACUUUCCAGCAAUUGUGAAGGCAGAACUGUCCAGAACUUGCUUUCUUCAUAAGUUUGGACAAUCAUGGCCAAGGAAGCUGAAACUCAGAAGAACAGAUGAGUUCCUUGAGUUCCCAGCUGUGUGCAUAUCCCCUGAUUUUACACUGAGGAUGGUCCUGAUGAAAUGUGAGCUAGGAAUUGUGAAAAGCUUAAACCAAAAUGACAGUAGCUGACAGUCAUGAAGCAAGCUUCACAGUUGUGAUAGAAGACAACCAAGGACCUUGACUUGGAGCUAGACAGAUAAUUGGAUAAUUAAAAGGCAAUCCAGUAACAACUUGGCAUUUGUGAACAGCCGUCACAGUGGACAGCAUGAAGAAUCCCCUGGCACAGGAAAAACAGAAUGAAAAUCUCAAACUUUUGCACAGUGAAACAAAUGUUAAAAGUGAAAAAUUAUCAACAAUAAAAGAGUGAUGAUUAAAGGCUUAAAUUUGCAGUAGCAGGCUUGGAAAUUUUCCAUUAAAUUUACCCAAACACACUAGUUAAGUAACUAUAUAUAAGUAAAUAUAUUCAGACAGAUGGUUGUUUACCUUUUAAAUAAUUCAGCUAACCUUAAAUGGGUACCUUGAAUUUGAAUCCAGAAAGUAUUCAAAUAUCUGCUAAAAACAUGAAAAAGAGAUGGAGCCCCUGUGCAAGUGGAGGUUGGUGCUCCAAAUCUGAUGUGGUAGUGGUUUUGUCAGUGUGAACUUUACAUCUACUCCAUUAGUUUCCGUAGUGUUCUUCUGUUCAUCACAGGCAUAAUUCAUCUUCUCCACUCAGUAGUGUGGUUACCACUCUCACUGAAGCAGGAGCUGCAGGACCCAUGACACAACAUGUACCUCAGCCUGGCAAACUAGAGUAGGAAAAAAGCAGCAGGAAUGAAAGCCCUUUUAUUUCCUCUCUUCAUCUUGGUAAAUCAGCAUCUGACCAUCCAGAUAUCAUGCAGGAAUUUAUCUACAUUUAAGCAAAAACAUCUACCUGACUUGCAAGGGAUCAGUUUUGUAGACAAAUUGUGUAUGAAUUUUCAUGAGGGGAGCAUCAGUCAUCAGUUUAUAGCCACAAAGGCAAUUGUUAUCGGGUUAAAAGUUCCCAAAU